Molecule: ribosomal RNA, 456 nt
Filed under: uncultured bacterium
Lineage: Bacteria
Description: bacterial SSU rRNA
Rfam family: Bacterial small subunit ribosomal RNA
Source: RNAcentral
AGGAGGCAGCAGUGGGGAAUAUUGGUCAAUGGAGGCAACUCUGAACCAGCCAUGCCGCGUGCAGGAUGACGGCCCUAUGGGUUGUAAACUGCUUUUGUACCAGAGAAAACCCCAGUACGUGUACUGGGUUGAUAGUAUGGUAAGAAUAAGCAUCGGCUAACUUCGUGCCAGCAGCCGCGGUAAGACGAAGGAUGCAAGCGUUAUCCGGAUUCAUUGGGUUUAAAGGGUGCGUAGGCGGACUUGUAAGUCAGUGGUGAAAUCUCUCAGCUUAACUGAGAAACUGCCAUUGAUACUGCAGGUCUAGAGUAUAGAUGACGUUGGCGGAAUAUGACAUGUAGUGGUGAAAUACUUAGAUAUGUCAUAGAACACCGAUUGCGAAGGCAGCUAACGAAACUAUAACUGACGCUGAGGCACGAAAGUGCGGGGAUCAAACAGGAUUAGAAACCCUGGUAGUCC